CUACGGAGGGUGCAAGCGUUGUUCGGAAUUACUGGGCGUAAAGGGCGCGCAGGCGGUUUGGUAAGUCAGAUGUGAAAGUCCACGGCUCAACCGUGGAAGUGCAUUUGAAACUGUCAGACUUGAGUACUAGAGGGGAAAGUGGAAUUCCCGGUGUAGAGGUGAAAUUCGUAGAUAUCGGGAGGAAUACCGGUGGCGAAGGCGACUUUCUGGCUAGAUACUGACGCUGAGGCGCGAAAGCGUGGGGAGCAAACAGGAUUAGAAACCCCGGUAGUCC
RNAcentral lists this ribosomal RNA (274 nucleotides) under uncultured bacterium. RNAcentral's name for it is "partial 16S ribosomal RNA". It matches the Rfam family "Bacterial small subunit ribosomal RNA", at positions 523 to 796 of the family's 1533-position model. The record is from RNAcentral.